GAAAUGCGAUAAGUAGUGUGAAUUGCAGAAUUCAGUGAAUCAUCGAAUCUUUGAACGCACAUUGCGCCCCUCGGCAUUCCGUGGGGCAUGCCUGUUCGAGCGUCAUCUACACCCUCAAGCUCUGCUUGGUGUUGGGCGUCUGUCCCGCCUCCGCGCGCGGACUCGCCCCAAAUGCAUUGGCAGUGGUUCCUUGCCCCCCUCUUUGCGCAGCACAUUGCCAUUCGAGGCGGCGGCGGCCCGCGUCCAACAAGCUCAACCCCCCCGUCUUUGACCUCGGAUCAGGUAGGGAUACCCGCUGAACUUAAGC
This 307-nucleotide unclassified non-coding RNA is filed under the name plant metagenome. RNAcentral describes it as "partial contains 5.8S ribosomal RNA, internal transcribed spacer 2, and large subunit ribosomal RNA". The stretch from base 1 to 105 matches the Rfam family "5.8S ribosomal RNA", at positions 50 to 154 of the family's 154-position model. The record is from RNAcentral.